This 640-nucleotide ribosomal RNA is filed under the name Hemiphanes erratum. RNAcentral's name for it is "partial large subunit ribosomal RNA". It matches the Rfam family "Eukaryotic large subunit ribosomal RNA", at positions 414 to 795 of the family's 3401-position model. Lineage: Eukaryota; Metazoa; Arthropoda; Insecta; Hymenoptera; Ichneumonidae. The record is from RNAcentral.
GGUAAACCUGAGAAACCCGAAAGUUCGAAUGGGGAGAUUCAUCGUCAGCGAUACUGGUACGUGUGCGGUUCGCGAUGCCGGAGACCUCGGUCUCGUGGCACGCGUCCGCAUGUUUUUUAUUGCCUGAAUCGUCGGCGUGCACUUCUCCCCUAGUAGGACGUCGCGACCCGUUGGGUGUCGGUCUACGACCCGGGCGGUAGCCUGUCUCGUGUGCGCCUCGCGGCGUUACGCGGGGCAGACCCCUGCGCGUCUGACCGGCUGCCCGGCGGUACUCGCACGGUAUCUGGCCGCAAAUAUUCGAACUGCGUCCGGCCCGUCGCAAGCGAGGCAAGUGUUUCCCGGCUGUACGGAUCUAAUGCCGUCACCGGGCCUUGCCAGCUGUUGGUUGACGGUGUCCUAGGACUGGCCAAUAAAAUUAUGAUACCGGUCGGCGACGCUACUGCUUUGGGUACUUUCAGGACCCGUCUUGAAACACGGACCAAGGAGUCUAACAUGUGCGCGAGUCAUUGGGAACUAUUAAGCCUAAAGGCGCAAUGAAAGUGAAGGUCGGUCUUGCACCGACCGAGGGAGGAUGGGCCGCGUCACGAUGCGGUCCCGCACUCCCGGGGCGUCUCGUUCUCAUUGCGAGAAGAGGCGCACC